Molecule: unclassified non-coding RNA, 963 nt
Filed under: Lytechinus variegatus (green sea urchin)
Lineage: Eukaryota; Metazoa; Echinodermata; Echinoidea; Temnopleuroida; Toxopneustidae
Description: uncharacterized LOC121424444, transcript variant X4
Source: RNAcentral
AUUUUGGGCAUCGACGAGCUAUUUCAGAAAUCAACUUGAAGUUGAAUAGAUCUUCUUUCUGGACAAAAUGUCCAACAUUGUGUUGUGCUCGCAUUCGACAGAGGCAGAGCCAGAUCCUGAACAAGUACGCUGGUUAGAGACUGAAUUUCGCUGCCAACAUAAAGCCAAACCAAGAACAGCAACAGCUGAUCAACGCAGGGGGUCAAAGAACACAUCUUGUCCAGCGGGCCUGAUUAUUGUUGUGAAAGUCAGCACCUUUGAAAGGUCAGACGGGAGAGUAAGGAAGUAGCCCAUGUACAUGUAAACAUCAAUACCUACAUGUAGUUGUCAAGAAGUUCAACAUCCAUUGCUGCUGGAACUUCAUUUCUGCCAAUGAUGUACCAGUGAGGAAACUGUUGUACUUAACAUACAAGGUGGCCACAGGCUGUGCAAAUGCCCCAGAAGAAUGGUUUAUCUCUUUGAACCAUCAAAGUGGACCAAAACAAGCAGAAACCAACUUGAUAAUGGAGUCCAUAAGCAAUACAACUUAUGAAAAUGAUGGUAUUGAUGAACACAGCAUGGACUCGAUGAACGAUGGGGAAAACAGAAAUGAAGGAGCUGUCUGCACAGAUGUUGAGAUUUCAGACAAUGGACACGAUGAGAUUUCAGACAAUGGACACGAUGCUGUUACGAAUCCAUGGCUAGCAAGUUUACACUUGCAAUGCUCUCUUCAAAACCAAUUUGAUACACGCGGUUGCACAUCAAAAUGAAGUGCUGAGAACGGAAGUGACCCAAUACUCAAUGAGCUAAACAAGGGAUUUCUUGCUUUACAGCAAAGCUACAUAGGAGACUAAGAAUUCCUUGGAGGACCAGUACAUAAAUUCACCAAGAAACUUCUGAAACUAAAUUCUGGAACAAAUACUGGGUUAGCUUCCAUGCUUGAACCCCCAUUCCACAGAGAACAAGACCGCUGUAAGACCUCAA